CCUUGUGGUUGGGGCAUUGCAAAAUCUUUCCAUUAAAUUUCUCUCACACCUCAUAUAAAGGUUUUCCAUUUAAUUGAUGAAAAUUUGUAAUUUUAUCUCUCAAUUG
This is a non-coding RNA of Capsicum annuum, 106 nucleotides long. The record is from Rfam. NCBI's taxonomy places the organism in Eukaryota, Viridiplantae, Streptophyta, Magnoliopsida, Solanales, Solanaceae.